UUGGUUGUAAAGUCAAAAUUUUCUGUGUCUUGGACCACCAUUUUAGAUAUUUUAGUCUCUUACGAGUGCUUGCUAUUUCCACCACACAAACAGGCAGAAUCAUUCAUUUGCUGUAUAUAAUCUGUGGCGAUUCUGGUCGUUACUAAUCACACCUGAUAUAGAGAUUAAAAAAAAGAUGGAUAAGAGAUGGAGUCUUCAAGGUAUGAAUGCUCUUGUAACCGGUGGAGCCAGCGGAAUCGGGUAUGCCAUAGUAGAAGAGUUAGUUAGCUUUGGGGCCAAAGUCCAUGUAUGCGACAUAUCUGAAACUUUGCUCAAUCAAAGUUUAAGUGAAUGGGAAAAGAAAGGGUUUCAAGUGAGUGGCUCAGUCUGUGAUGUAACCUCUCGUCCCGAGAGAGAAACACUCAUGCAAACUGUCUCCUCGCUGUUUGAUAGCAAACUCAACAUUUUCGUGAACAAUGUGGGUGUACUUCGGGGAAAGCCAACAACAGAAUAUACGGCUGCAGAUUUCUCGUUUCAUAUCUCCAUAAACUUGGAGUCUGCUUAUCAUCUUAGCCAGCUUUCACAUCCUCUCCUAAAGGCUUCAGGCUAUGGAAGCAUCGUCUACAUGUCCUCUGUUGCAGGAGUUGUAUCCAUGAGCGGCGGAUCCAUUUACAGUCUAACCAAAGGAGCUUUAAAUCAGCUAGCUAGAAAUUUGGCAUGUGAAUGGGCAAAAGACGGCAUACGAGCCAACGCUGUUGCACCUAAUAUCAUCAAGACCCCGUUGGCCCAACCUUAUCUUGAGGACGUCGGGUUCAGGGAAGAACUGUUCGGUAGAACUCCACUUGGUCGAGCUGGAGAGCCGAAUGAAGUUGCAUCACUAGUGGUCUUCUUGUGUCUUCCUGCAGCUUCUUAUAUUACUGGUCAGACCAUUUGUGUUGAUGGAGGCCUCACGGUUAACGGUUUCUCCUAUCAACCACAAGCUUGAGAGAAAGAUGGUGUACGAAGAGGCCGGGGAAACCAACUUGGAUGAUUGAAGCCAAAGUCAUACACACAUAGAAACCAUCACAUUAUAACUUUGGGGAUCAGAGUUCAUGCUACUUAUAGGAAGAACUAUUUGAGAUCUUUGGGGGAUCAGUGCAUUCUUUAAGCCCUGUGAUUUCCAGAAUGAUGACAUGUUUCUAUCCUUACCAGAAUUUGAUUCUGUUUUGAGUGGAAGAUUAGAGAAUGGCUUUUUAAUUGACAUCGUUGGACAAGCCAUAGAUGUUGGGGAGCUUUGAAUUUCUUCAAUCUAUGGAAAUGAGUUAAAAAUAAUCAGAGUUCACCUUAAGAAACAUCAGGUAGCUAAUUCUAAUCUCAUAAAUUCAUCCGUGAAUUUUCCUAUUAUUUUGUUCAGUUAAAGACUCUCGCAGUAUAAGACUAAAAAGUUGACAUAAAUUCACAGUGAUGAGAGCGUAGUGUUGUUUGUGCACUUGCUAAAAUCGGUUCAUUUAGAGGUAUGAUUUAUAUAUAUACAUUUAUUUUUUUAUUUUUUUUUAUUUAACUGUGAUUUCUAAUUGUUACUAAUUUCUUUGGUAAUCUCCAAAUAUCAAAUGCUUA
This is an RNA transcript of Raphanus sativus (radish), 1575 nucleotides long. It is a transcript of the gene named tropinone reductase homolog At2g29310, with no coding region annotated. Lineage: Eukaryota; Viridiplantae; Streptophyta; Magnoliopsida; Brassicales; Brassicaceae. The transcript has 8 exons. The record is from RefSeq and is a predicted model, not a curated record.